Tympanuchus pallidicinctus (lesser prairie-chicken) is the source of this 352-nucleotide long non-coding RNA. RefSeq lists it as uncharacterized. Lineage: Eukaryota; Metazoa; Chordata; Aves; Galliformes; Phasianidae. The record is from RefSeq and is a predicted model, not a curated record. The transcript has 2 exons.
UGGCGCGGGGCGGGUGCGGCUGCGGGUGGGCGUGCGUGGCCUGAGUCUCUGUACCAGAUGUGCUAAAAUACCUGGUAGCGUAGGCCAAAAGGUAGUAACUAAGUGUACUGAUUGAGAUUUUAAUAUCACAGAAUCACAGAAUCAGAGAACUGUAGGGUUGCAAGGGACAGCUGGAGAUCAUCAGGUCCAACCCUCUGCGAAAGCAGUUCCCCGCAGUGGAUUGCACAGGAAGGCAUUCAGGUGUAUACUGGAUAUCUACGGGGAAGGAGACUCCACAAGCUCUCUAACCAGCAUCUUCCAGUGCUCUGUCACCUUCAAAAUAAAGGCGUUUUUUUUUCAUGUCUAUACACAA